UUGAUUGAAUAAGAAAAAAAAAAAAAAAAAAAAAAAAAAAA
Molecule: non-coding RNA, 41 nt
Filed under: Prorocentrum micans
Lineage: Eukaryota; Dinophyceae; Prorocentrales; Prorocentraceae
Source: RNAcentral